UCUCUGUUGGUGAACCAGCGGAGGGAUCAUUACAGGACUCGCAAGACUCCUACAACCCUGUGAACUUAACUAUAAGCACGUUGCUUCGGCGGGUGUCUCGGAGGGGGUUCUCCCUCCCCGAGACGCUAAACCCGCCGGCAGCCUACUAUACUCUGUCUCUUUGCGUUGGCAUCUCGAGUACAAUCAAACAAGUUAAAACUUUCAACAACGGAUCUCUUGGUUCUG
This 225-nucleotide unclassified non-coding RNA is filed under the name plant metagenome. RNAcentral's name for it is "partial contains small subunit ribosomal RNA, internal transcribed spacer 1, and 5.8S ribosomal RNA". The record is from RNAcentral.